RNAcentral lists this ribosomal RNA (441 nucleotides) under uncultured bacterium. RNAcentral's name for it is "partial 16S ribosomal RNA". It matches the Rfam family "Bacterial small subunit ribosomal RNA", at positions 338 to 795 of the family's 1533-position model. The record is from RNAcentral.
CCUACGGGUGGCAGCAGUGGGGGAUAUUGCACAAUGGGGGAAACCCUGAUGCAGCGACGCCGCGUGGGUGAAGAAGUAUUUCGGUAUGUAAAGCCCUAUCAGCAGGGAAGAAAGAAGACGGUACCUGACUAAGAAGCCCCGGCUAACUACGUGCCAGCAGCCGCGGUAAUACGUAGGGGGCGAGCGUUAUCCGGAUUCACUGGGUGUAAAGGGAGCGUAGACGGCCGUGCAAGCCAGGAGUGAAAGCCCGGGGCCCAACCCCGGGACUGCUCUUGGAACUGUGCGGCUGGAGUGCGGGAGGGGCAGGCGGAAUUCCUGGUGUAGCGGUGAAAUGCGUAGAUAGCAGGAGGAACGCCGGCGGCGAAGGCGGCCUGCUGGACCGCGACUGACGUUGAGGCUCGAAAGCGUGGGGAGCGAACAGGAUUAGAUACCCUUGUAGUC